CGUGAGACUUUUAAUCUCAAGGUUGCGGGUUCGAGUCCCGCGUUGGGCU
This is a transfer RNA of Candida maltosa Xu316, 49 nucleotides long. It matches the Rfam family "tRNA", at positions 24 to 71 of the family's 71-position model. From Rfam's summary of the family: Transfer RNA (tRNA) molecules are approximately 80 nucleotides in length. Their secondary structure includes four short double-helical elements and three loops (D, anti-codon, and T loops). The record is from Rfam. Lineage: Eukaryota; Fungi; Ascomycota; Pichiomycetes; Serinales; Debaryomycetaceae.